Molecule: long non-coding RNA, 523 nt
Organism: Drosophila montana
Lineage: Eukaryota; Metazoa; Arthropoda; Insecta; Diptera; Drosophilidae
Exons: 2
Source: RefSeq, a predicted model, not a curated record
ACGAGUUCGGAACUGGAUCAGCUCUCGGUUCCCAAAAACUACUUACUGGAGACACUCAUGAAAAUUGCUUAAUCAUAUAAACUAUAUUCAUACUUUGUUCUUAAUAAAAAAAAAAAUGCGAGUAAAGUCGCACAGCCUCAUAUUUUGCGGGCUCAUCUUCGUGUAUUAAUGUUGAAGCCGGAGAAUUUCGUCAAUCAAGCUACGAGAAGUCUUCAACGAGUUAAGCAUCACCGAGGACGGCAAUGAUCUUGAAGGGGGAACAGUUAACAAGGAAGUUAACAAGCUAUCCUCCCACGAACUUAUCAAGCAACCCGUGCGCCCGAAAUGCUCACGAGUCAGAUUACCCACUCAACUUUCUGAGAGCGAGCGUUGGGGAUCAACAGCCAGAAGUAGGCUGCUGUCGCAACGCUGCACUAUCACUAUGAUUAUGCUGAGUCGGCUUGAUGACCACGAACCCGGGGCAUGUCCCAAGAACAACUUCUUCAAAUAUACUGAUCCGGCACUUGCCGUCAUCAACACAUUA